Silurus meridionalis is the source of this 532-nucleotide long non-coding RNA. RefSeq lists it as uncharacterized. Lineage: Eukaryota; Metazoa; Chordata; Actinopteri; Siluriformes; Siluridae. The transcript is spliced from 3 exons. The record is from RefSeq and is a predicted model, not a curated record.
CAACACUCUACUCUGCCUGCGGGUGGCCCAUCCACCCCAGGUAAUUCACCUAAAAACAAGCACGCUUUUCCUUCGGUGAAGAAGUUGCUAGAAAGCAAACAAGGACUGGUUAAAAGCUGUGUAAGAGAGAGUUAGGCCGCAUGACAGCGAGCUUCUCAAGAUACCUCCGAUUGGUUUUUUAGAAAGGGAUAGACCAUCUGAAUCUGACCCUAGUGGUCAGUGGCGAGGCAAUCCGCAGAAGUGAACGGAUCAAGAGCCCGGUGUGGCCAGCCGUGGCAUCUUUGGACCAGCAUCAUCCUGUGCCUUCAUUUGUGAUACAGAUAAGAACAUACGUAAACCUAUCCGGGUAGUGAAAAGAACAUACUCUACGAAACACACACACACAUAUCAACAACUUCUAUGGACUCUUUCUUUAUUUGAGUUUUUUAUUUUGAGUUUGUUGUGCGCUGUGCACCCAGGAAGCCUUUUUAGGUAGGCAGGGAUUGUAAAUAACUGCCAAUUUAUUUUGUAUAAUACAUUUUUUUCAAAUUCA